This 74-nucleotide transfer RNA is filed under the name bacterium. RNAcentral's name for it is "tRNA-Cys". It matches the Rfam family "tRNA". From Rfam's summary of the family: Transfer RNA (tRNA) molecules are approximately 80 nucleotides in length. Their secondary structure includes four short double-helical elements and three loops (D, anti-codon, and T loops). RNAcentral also lists the same sequence under 4 other names. The record is from RNAcentral.
GGCGGCGUAGCCAAGUGGUAAGGCACGGGCCUGCAAAGCCCUGAUCGCCGGUUCGAAUCCGGCCGCCGCCUCCA